RNAcentral lists this ribosomal RNA (373 nucleotides) under uncultured organism. RNAcentral describes it as "partial 16S ribosomal RNA". It matches the Rfam family "Bacterial small subunit ribosomal RNA", at positions 527 to 896 of the family's 1533-position model. The record is from RNAcentral.
GUAGGUGGCAAGCGUUGUCCGGAAUUAUUGGGCGUAAGGCGCGCGCAGGCGGUUCUUUAAGUCUGAUGUGAAAGCCCACGGCUCAACCGUGGAGGGUCAUUGGAAACUGGAGAACUUGAGUACAGAAGAGGAAAGCGGAAUUCCACGUGUAGCGGUGAAAUGCGUAGAGAUGUGGGGGAACACCAGUGGCGAAGGCGGCUUUCUGGUCUGUAACUGACGCUGAGGCGCGAAAGCGUGGGGAGCAAACAGGGAUUAGAUACCCUGGUAGUCCACGCCGUAAACGAUGAGUGCUAAGUGUUAGGGGGUUUCCGCCCCCUUAGUGCUGCAGCUAACGCAUUAAGCACUCCGCCUGGGGAGUACGGCCGCAAGGCUG